RNAcentral lists this non-coding RNA (28 nucleotides) under Chlamydomonas leiostraca. Lineage: Eukaryota; Viridiplantae; Chlorophyta; Chlorophyceae; Chlamydomonadales; Chlamydomonadaceae. The record is from RNAcentral.
GGUGCGGAAGGCAGCAGCGGUAUCUCAG